RNAcentral lists this ribosomal RNA (289 nucleotides) under uncultured prokaryote. Its description in RNAcentral is "partial 16S ribosomal RNA". It matches the Rfam family "Bacterial small subunit ribosomal RNA", at positions 355 to 635 of the family's 1533-position model. The record is from RNAcentral.
UGAGGAAUAUUGCGCAAUGGGGGCAACCCUGACGCAGCGACGCCGCGUGAGUGAGGAAGGCCUUCGGGUCGUAAAGCUCUGUCAAAGGGAAAGAAGAGCAUGGUGGCUAAUACCUGCCAUGUUUGACGGUACCCUUAAAGGAAGCACCGGCUAACUCCGUGCCAGCAGCCGCGGUAAUACGGAGGGUGCAAGCGUUGUUCGGAAUCACUGGGCGUAAAGGGCGCGUAGGCGGUUUGAUAAGUCAGAUGUGAAAGCCCACGGCUGAACUGGGGAAGUGCAUUUGAAACUG